This 906-nucleotide ribosomal RNA is filed under the name Lactococcus lactis. Its description in RNAcentral is "bacterial SSU rRNA". It matches the Rfam family "Bacterial small subunit ribosomal RNA", at positions 1 to 883 of the family's 1533-position model. Lineage: Bacteria; Bacillati; Bacillota; Bacilli; Lactobacillales; Streptococcaceae. The record is from RNAcentral. RNAcentral also lists the same sequence under 1 other name.
CCCAUCCCAAAAAGAGAGGGGUUUUCUCUCUCAGGACGAACGCUGGCGGCGUGCCUAAUACAUGCAAGUUGAGCGCUGAAGGUUGGUACUUGUACCAACUGGAUGAGCAGCGAACGGGUGAGUAACGCGUGGGGAAUCUGCCUUUGAGCGGGGGACAACAUUUGGAAACGAAUGCUAAUACCGCAUAAAAACUUUAAACACAAGUUUUAAGUUUGAAAGAUGCAAUUGCAUCACUCAAAGAUGAUCCCGCGUUGUAUUAGCUAGUUGGUGAGGUAAAGGCUCACCAAGGCGAUGAUACAUAGCCGACCUGAGAGGGUGAUCGGCCACAUUGGGACUGAGACACGGCCCAAACUCCUACGGGAGGCAGCAGUAGGGAAUCUUCGGCAAUGGACGAAAGUCUGACCGAGCAACGCCGCGUGAGUGAAGAAGGUUUUCGGAUCGUAAAACUCUGUUGGUAGAGAAGAACGUUGGUGAGAGUGGAAAGCUCAUCAAGUGACGGUAACUACCCAGAAAGGGACGGCUAACUACGUGCCAGCAGCCGCGGUAAUACGUAGGUCCCGAGCGUUGUCCGGAUUUAUUGGGCGUAAAGCGAGCGCAGGUGGUUUAUUAAGUCUGGUGUAAAAGGCAGUGGCUCAACCAUUGUAUGCAUUGGAAACUGGUAGACUUGAGUGCAGGAGAGGAGAGUGGAAUUCCAUGUGUAGCGGUGAAAUGCGUAGAUAUAUGGAGGAACACCGGUGGCGAAAGCGGCUCUCUGGCCUGUAACUGACACUGAGGCUCGAAAGCGUGGGGAGCAAACAGGAUUAGAUACCCUGGUAGUCCACGCCGUAAACGAUGAGUGCUAGAUGUAGGGAGCUAUAAGUUCUCUGUAUCGCAGCUAACGCAAUAAGCACUCCGCCUGGGAGAGCC